Long non-coding RNA from Atta colombica, 612 nucleotides. RefSeq lists it as uncharacterized. The transcript has 3 exons. The record is from RefSeq and is a predicted model, not a curated record. NCBI's taxonomy places the organism in Eukaryota, Metazoa, Arthropoda, Insecta, Hymenoptera, Formicidae.
CAGGAAGAUAUAAUGUCGCGACAACUUAUUAUUAUUAAUAUAUUACUGGUACAAUGACAAUAUAACUACAUUGCUGUGCAUUGUUACUCCAUUCUACAUUUUACGCGAUACGAAUAUUUUUACAAUUUGAUAUGUCAUAUUUAACACACUGAAAAUUUUUCUAAGAUACUUUCAAGUGGAAAGCAGCCAACGCUCUCAUGCAGAUCUUCUGCCUCGUCAUAUGGCCGUCCCGUGAUUCUCGUAAAACUCAGAGAGUGGGAAGUUGCGGGUGGAUUCCCUCGAUGAUGCGGAAAUUUCUUAAGGCUUCGCGUGAAGGCAAAAAAACGUCUAGCAAAGUCUUCGUAAUACGUUGCUUUACGGGAGGCCCCACAAUUGUGCAAUCCAAUCGCUAUGUUGUUAUGACGAUGAUGAUACAAGGCCAAACGUCCUAAAUCGCACAACACCUGCUUAUAAGGUCACUGUGCUCUCGAGAGAUAUUAUCGAACCGUUUGUGAUUAUUUUUAGCUGAUGCGUCGUAUUUGUGUCAUACAUAAUAGAGUGUUGUGUUGAUUACAUAGUAAAUAUGAGUAAUGGGAAUAGCGCAAGAGAAGUGGUAAUUAACCGAGAGAAACC